GGGGAAGAAGAAAAAAACGGGAGUGAAGUGUAGAAUCUCAACACUACGGCAAGGUCGGGAUACGAACGGAGACGGAACUCUGACGAGGGGUCAUCUGACGAUCGUGUGAUGGCGUGCUUGGGUGGGUGGAAAUCGUGGUGUGGCUUGUGUAUAGAGAGGUCUCAAAGGCAAGGGAAGAUAUGAGAUUUUCGUUUAAGGUUAUGAUGCUGAAAUAGAAAAUAAAAUGUGAGAUUCUUGUGCAUUUGUUGGAUCUAUGUGAAGAAGUCGGAGAUCGAGUGAUCGGAGCGUGAACCGGAGGGUCGUUUAGGGUUUGACGGAAGGUCGCGACGGGAGAGGAGAAGACAGUUGGGAAGAACCCAAAGGGUUUUGAAUAUAUUUUGAAAAGUUAAAGAAUAAACUAUUACAAGUAACUAUAUAUACCAUGUUGAAACUAACCCUAAUUCUAAUGGGCCAACAUACAGAUUGGGCCUUGUGACUAAUCACUCUUAAAUAAUAGAUGUGUAAUAUAUGUAUAAUUAACUUAAACUAAUCAUUCUUAAUACUCUUAAUACCCCCCCUCAAGCUGGAGAGUGUAUGUCAUAGAGUCCCAGCUUGGGUAGUAGAUUUCUCAGUGAUUCUAAACUUGCUGGCUUUGUCAAUAUAUCUGCCACCUGAAAUGUUGUAGAGAUAUGUUGCAAUUUGAAUAAACCUGCUUGUAAAUGUUCACGAAUUAAGUGACAAUCAAUUUCAAUAUGUUUGGUGCGUUCAUGAAACACUGGAUUUGAGGCAAUAUGUAUUGCAGCCAUAUUGUCACAGUGUAGCAGAGUUUCUCCAGAUGGUUUAACCUGUAAAUCAUUCAGAAAAUAGUGCAACCACAUUAUCUCACAUACAGUUGAAGCCAUAGCCCUAUAUUCACUUUCAGCAGAUGACCUGCUUAUUGUUGUUUGUUUUUUUUUAUUUCCAUGUUAUAGCUUAUCCUCCUAGUAGUAUUGUGUAGCCUGUGAUGGAUUUCCUGGUGUUAGGGCAGUCAGCCCAAUCAGCAUCACAAAAAGCUUCUAAUUGAAGAGGUGCAUUUCUCUUAUAUAGUAUGCCUUUUCCUGGAGCUCCUUUUAUGUAUUUCAAUAUUUUCAUAGCUGAAUCAAAGUGUGAUUGCUUGGGAUCUGCCAAGAAUUGGCUAUGAUGGCUAACAGAGAAUGCUAUGUCAGGUCUUGUGAUUGUCAAGUAUAGCAAUUUCCCAAUUAAUUUUCUGUAAUUUGAAGGAUCCUUCAUUGGAGCAUCCUUCUCUGGAUUUUUGAAGUUGUGGGACAUUGGGAUCUUAGAUGGAGAGGAUCCCAAUUGUCCAAAAUCAUGUAAAAUAUCAAGGGCAUAUUUUCUUUGUGAUAGGAAAAUACCCUGGUUUGAUUGAGAUACCUCAAUUCCUAGAAAGUAUUUGAGUUUACCCAAAUCUUUUAUGUGGAAUUGGAGAUGUAGAUAUUCUUUUAGCUUUUGGAUCUCAGUUUCAUUGUCCCCUGAUAUGAUUAAAUCAUCCACAUAAAUGAGUAGACAGGUAUAUGAGUUUGUGGAAGAUUUAAAGAAUAGUGUGUAGUCUGAAUGAGAUUGGGUGUAACCAAAUUUGGUUAAGGCAGAAGUUAUUUUCUCAUACCAAUUUCUGUUUGCCUGUUUCAAACCAUACAAAGAUUUUUUAAGUCUACAGACUCUUGUAUCAUCUGGUGAUAGCAUGCCUGGAGGAGGGGACAUGUAAAUUUCCUCAGACAAGUCACCAUGUAAGAAGGCAUUGCUUACAUCCAUUUGAUAUGUAGUCCAGUUUUUGGUUGAUGCUACUGCUAAUAAGGUCCUGACAGAUAUAAUUUUAGCAACAGGGGAGAAGGUUUCUUUGUAGUCAAAACCUUCUACCUGAGUAUGACCUUUUGCAACUAGCCUUGCUUUUAGUCUUUCAAUAUCACCAUUUGAUUUAUGUUUUACUUUGAAAACCCAUCUUGAGCCCACAAUCUUUCUUUCUUUUGGUUUGGCCACUAUUUCCCAUGUGUCAUUGAGCUCAAGGGCUGCUAGUUCAUCAUUCAUGGCUUUUACCCAUUCAGGACUUUGGCUAGCCUGUUUGAAAGAAGUUGGUUCUGUGGUUGUGGAUAUUUUGUCCAGGAAAUCAGUGUGGGCAGUGGACAACCUCUUGUAUGUUAGAUAAUCAUGCAUUGGAUAUGAGGUGCCUUUUGAUUUCCCACAGCUUGUUGCAAAUGAGCAAAAAUAAUCAUUUAGUUUUAUGGGAAGUUUUGUUUGCCUCUUUGGAUAUCUUGAGUUUAGUUGGGUGUUUGAAGUAGGAUCAACACUUAUCUUUUGUUCUUGUGUUGUUCCUGAUGUUUCAGGAUUCAAUGUUGUUUGAAUGUGAAUUUCAGAGUUUGGAUUUUUUGAAGUUGACUCUGAAGACUCAGAGUUUGAUUCUGUUGAGGUUUGAGUUUGUGAGUCAUUUUGGGGUAUUGAGUAUACCUCUGAGAGGUCAGAGUCAUUUAGAAGUGUAUCAUUCAGUUUCAUAGUUGUUGUAUUGCUCUUGGUUUCUCCUGAGCUGUUUUGAUUUAGUGGGAAUUCAUCCUCAUAAAAUGUAACAUCUCUGCUUACAGAGAUUUGUUGAUUAUCUAAUUCAUAAAUAAUAGAGCCUUUUUGGGUUGAGGGUUGACCUAAGUAUAUGCAUUUUUUGGCUCUUGGGGAAAACUUGUCUUCUUUUACAAGGCAAGUUGCAUAGCACAGACAACCAAAGGUUCUAAGACCUUCAUAGUUUGGUUGUUUGGAAUGCAUGAGCUCAUAUGGGGAUAAGUUUUGUGUUACCAUAUAUGGUAGUAGAUUAAUGAUGUAAGUGGCUUGGAGGAUUGCAUAUCCCCAUAGCUCAGUUGGGAGAGAGCAUUGAAAUUUCAAUGCUCUAGCAACAUUUAAGAGAUGCUGGUGUUUUCUCUCAACCACACCAUUCUGUUGUGGUGUGUGGGGGCAGCUAGAGUAGUGGAUGAUUCCUUUUGUUUUUAAGAAAUCAUCCAUGGCUGAAGAAAAAAAUUCUCCACCAUUGUCAGUCCUAAUAGAUUUGACAGAGAUGUCAAACUGAUUAUUAAUAAGAGUAUAUAAAUUUCUAAAAAUUGUAAAACAUUCAGACUUCAUAGAUAUAAGGUAAGUCCAUGUGUACCUAGUGUAAUCAUCAACCACAGUUAAAAAAUAUCUCUUCCCAUGAAUUGUUGGAGUGUGAAAGUUCCCCCACACAUCCAUGUGAAGUAAAUCAAAUGCAUUUUUAGUUCUAGAUGCAUGAAGUGGAAAUGAUUUCCUAGGUUGUUUGGCAAAAUGACAAGUAUCACAGUGUUUAUCAAAAAUAAAAGAAGAGUUUGAAAAAUUAAAAUUCAGAUUGUUCAAAAUGUGUUUUAGCCUGUCACUUGAAGUGUGACCAAGCCUCUUGUGCCAUGUAGAAGUUGUGGUGGCACCUGCAAAAGAAUCAUGAUGAUUGAUUGAUUGAUUGAUGUGUGGCAACAGAUACAGUCCCUUCUCCAUCCUACUCUGACCAACUUCCUUCAUCUGAACCUUGUCAUAUAUAAAUGCACAUGAUUUAGAAAAUUUAACAGAGUAGGUAUCAUAUUGGGUUAGCUUGCUAAUGGAUAGCAAGUUAACUUGAAAGGAUGGAUUGAAGUAUACAUCCUUCAGUGUGAUGUUGGGUGAUACAGAGAUGUCACCCUUUAAGGAGACUGUUUGACUGUCCCCAUUUGGCAGUGAGAUCUUGAAAGGAUCACACUUGAUGAGUUUUUGAAAUAAAGAUUCAUUUCCACUCAGGUGCUCAGAGGCACCUGAGUCAAUGAUCCAGUAAAUAUCAGAAUAUUUGUUAAAGAUGGAAUUUGCUUUACCUGGAUCCUUGUAUUUUGGUAGUGGCUUCGGGUUGUAUUUCUCAGAAUAUAGUGGGAAGCCAUAAGGUCCAAUGGGGUUUUCAGGAGAUUCAGCUCUCUUUUCAUCAGUGCUCCAUGGGGUCCAGGUUUGGUCAGAGUUUACACAAUUGGCAGAACCCUGUGCUUUGUUAACCACAGAGGGUGUUGGAGUUGUGGGAUUGGCCCUAGUGUUUCUAGAAGGAUAUCCAUGUUGAUUGAAACACUUUUCAUCACUGUGUCUAAAUACAGCACAGUGGAAGCAGUAAUAUCUCGUAUUGACUUGUUUCCCACUCUUGUAGUAUAUAGGUUCAGUUGGGGUGGGGGGCCUUUUCCUUUGAUUAGGAUUGGAUGAGGAUGGUGUAUCAGUGGGUUUAACUGUUGUUUGGAAGGGUGCUUUCCCUUUUGCAGAGUAGAAUGCUGAGCCUUGGUUUGGGUUUGAACUGCUGGUCAAUUUUUGUUGUGCCUCCUCAUGUAUGACCAUUGAAAACACUUUCCCAAAAUUUGGGAGCUUGUCCAUUGAGAGGAUGGUGGAUCUAAUUUGUCUGAAGUUAUCAUUCAGACCCAUUAAAAACUUCCUGAUCUUUAGCCUUUUUUCCCUUUCAUUCACUCUCCCAUUCACAUUACACGUGCAGGUGAUGCAACUGCAUCUUGGAACCUCCCCAUAGGCAUCUACUUCCCUCCACAAGGUUUUAAGAGUGGCACUGAAUUUAGAUACUGUGUUUGAACCUUGUUGGAGUAGGGCAAUGUCUUGUGUCAGUUGGAACAGAUGUGUCUCAUUAGACUGUUUGAACUGAUCUCUGAGAUCAGCCCAAAUGAUUGCAGCAUCAUCUGUGUACAUGAUUUGGGAGGCUAUCUCCUGAGAGACAGAGCUCCAAAUCCACUGACGGAUUAUCCCAUGACAGGUAAUCCAAGCCUCAUGUUCCUCUUCCUCAUUUUGGGAUGGUUCCUUGAUGGAUCCAUUGACAAACCCCAGUUUUCUCCUAGUUAUUAGCAUGGUUGUCAUUUCUCUAUUCCAUGGGUAAUAAUUUUGGCUACCUUGUAGAAUGUUUAUAAUGGAAGGAGGGCCAUAGUCAGAGGGUUUAAAGAAAUACACAGAUGUGGGAUCAAAUAGGGGACCUCCCAGUGGCUUCUUUCUCAGAAUCUGAAUGGAUUGGGCAUUCUCAUUAUCAGUCAUGAUGAAGAUUCUGUAAUGUUGUUUGUGAUGAUAAAAUUGUAUUAGUAUAGCAUAAUUACAGUUCAAGCAAUAUGAAGGAAUCAAAAAAUAUAUAUUACAGACUUGAUCUGACACUAAAAUGCAUUUAUGAGAUUUUUGGAUUGACAAUCGGAUCGAUUUGAAGUAUCCAGAGUAGGAUAAUUUGACAAUGGUUCUCAGCCCAUCUUUGAUCGAUUUGGAUUGUAAGCAUAGCUUACUCAUAAUUGAAUAAUCAGUGUGCAGCGGAAGUAACAUAAUGAAAACAUUCAUCCUAUGUAGUAUUUUAAUAUUACUGAUGUAAUAUAAACAUGAUAUGAAAAUGACAUUCAAUGAUGAUGAAUAUCUAUGAGUUAUGGAAAUAGCAGUUAACAUGUAAAAUGACUUAAUCAGUAACAGCCAUGGACAUGGAACAUGCAAGCUGUCUAAUAUGAUGUGAUCUGAGGAUGAUCUCAGAUCACAUCUAAACACUAGUGUUUUCAUUGAAGAGUCCUGGAGAUCAUCCUCUUCAUCACUAGGGGAUGAUCUUAGACAACAGGGUAGCAUGCAUAUAGAUCUAACAGAGCAUGCAAGCAGCAAUCUUACAGGAGUAACAAAUAUAUCGCAUGAUGUGUGUAGACCAGUAAUACAUAGAACAUAGAUGAAUACAUCAAGCAUAACCAGCAACGAUACAUAGAGCAUCAAACAUGAACAUGCAAGAGGUGGUUUCAUGUUUUUAAGGGUAAACACAUAGCAUAAUAUGUUUGGAUCAGUAGAUAUAUCAAACAGAACUAGCAAUGGCACACGAAGCAUCAUACAUGAACAUGCAAGGGGGUUUUAUGUAUUUAGGGUUUUCAGUACAUAUAGCAUAUAUGGUUUUAUGUUUAUCACAAGCAAGGUCUUAGAUAUACCAGCCUUCGUUUUGGAGAGGUGUAGAUAGAUCCUUACGGAGUUACUCUUUUCUUCUCUCUUUUGUGUCGCUAGCCCCCUUUGCUUUUCACUGAGGACAGUGCAGUGUGAUCGUUUUAGCAGCGCAGCACUCCGAGAUGCUCUGAUACCAUGAAGAAGUCGGAGAUCGAGUGAUCGGAGCGUGAACCGGAGGGUCGUUUAGGGUUUGACGGAAGGUCGCGACGGGAGAGGAGAAGACAGUUGGGAAGAACCCAAAGGGUUUUGAAUAUAUUUUGAAAAGUUAAAGAAUAAACUAUUACAAGUAACUAUAUAUACCAUGUUGAAACUAACCCUAAUUCUAAUGGGCCAACAUACAGAUUGGGCCUUGUGACUAAUCACUCUUAAAUAAUAGAUGUGUAAUAUAUGUAUAAUUAACUUAAACUAAUCAUUCUCAAUACUCUUAAUACUAUGUGGCAGUGAUAAUGAUUAGUGUGGGAAGUGGGAGUUGGGUUAGACUCCGUAGGUGUUAGGGUGGAAAAACAAGGAUUUAGGUGUGGCCUUUAAAAUAACAUAUGAGUGAAAUUUCACACAUCUUUUAUCGUGGGGUGAAGUUAUGUAUAACCUUGUGAUAUGUAUUAGGUGUCUUCCAUUAUCCUUUUAAGUUAAAAUAAUGGUUUCCAUUUGUCUCUAUUGAAUUUUAUUUUUGGGGUGAACUCUUAUGAGUUAUGUGAAUGUUACGUGGAAGAAUAAUUGUAAGAAUGUUAUUACAAUAUUUUCAGAAAAUCUUGGGGGUCAGUGCAGGAUUUUGAGGGUUUUACACAGAUUUUCUUCAUUUUCAUCUUCUUCUAUAUUCUAAGAAGAUUUUAGAUUCAGUUUCAGAUUUUUAGGGGUUCGAUUGAGAUUUUAAUUGUGGUUAUUUCUUUCGAUAUUUUAAAGGGAUUUUAGAUUUAAAUUUUGGGUUACUGCAGGAUUUUAUUUAUGUUUAUUCAGUACUAGCAGAAGAUCGUAUAUUAAAAUUCUGGAUUUUUCUUGGGAUUUAAUAGCCAGGGCA
RNAcentral lists this long non-coding RNA (6967 nucleotides) under Zostera marina. RNAcentral's name for it is "long non-coding RNA (ZMAR_LNC005405)". Lineage: Eukaryota; Viridiplantae; Streptophyta; Magnoliopsida; Alismatales; Zosteraceae. The record is from RNAcentral.